RNAcentral lists this non-coding RNA (30 nucleotides) under Rattus norvegicus (Norway rat). The record is from RNAcentral. Lineage: Eukaryota; Metazoa; Chordata; Mammalia; Rodentia; Muridae.
UGUCCUAAUCGGAUGGUGUCUCUACAGACU